GACGAACGCUGGCGGCGUGCUUAACACAUGCAAGUCGAACGGAAAGGCCCCUUUGGGGGUACUCGAGUGGCGAACGGGUGAGUAACACGUGAGUAACCUGCCCUUGACUUCGGGAUAACUUCAGGAAACUGGGGCUAAUACCGGAUAGGAAUCCUUGCUGCAUGGUGGGGGUUGGAAAGCUUCGGCGGUUUUGGAUGGACUCGCGGCUUAUCAGCUUGUUGGUGGGGUAGUGGCUUACCAAGGCUUUGACGGGUAGCCGGCCUGAGAGGGCGACCGGCCACAGUGGGACUGAGAUACGGCCCAGACUCCUACGGGAGGCAGCAGUGGGGAAUAUUGCACAAUGGGCGGAAGCCUGAUGCAGCAACGCCGCGUGCGGGAGGACGGCCUUCGGGUUGGAAACCGCUUUCAGCAGGGGCGAAGCUUGUGGUGACGGUACCUGCAGAAGAAGCACCGGCUAACUACGUG
Molecule: ribosomal RNA, 465 nt
Filed under: uncultured bacterium
Lineage: Bacteria
Description: partial 16S ribosomal RNA
Rfam family: Bacterial small subunit ribosomal RNA
Source: RNAcentral